This 65-nucleotide ribosomal RNA is filed under the name uncultured bacterium. RNAcentral describes it as "partial 16S ribosomal RNA". The record is from RNAcentral.
CCCGAAGUCCGUGUCGGAACCCGCAAGGGCCAAGCGGCCGAAGGCGAGCAGUCAUGACUGGGGCG